CGGCAUGUAGCCUAGCGGUUAAGAGCUUUGGGCCAGUAACCGAAAGGUUGCUGGUUCAAAUCCCCAAGCCGA
RNAcentral lists this transfer RNA (72 nucleotides) under Oncorhynchus kisutch (coho salmon). It matches the Rfam family "tRNA". Rfam says of the family: Transfer RNA (tRNA) molecules are approximately 80 nucleotides in length. Their secondary structure includes four short double-helical elements and three loops (D, anti-codon, and T loops). Lineage: Eukaryota; Metazoa; Chordata; Actinopteri; Salmoniformes; Salmonidae. The record is from Rfam by way of RNAcentral. RNAcentral also lists the same sequence under 2 other names.